RNAcentral lists this ribosomal RNA (448 nucleotides) under uncultured bacterium. Its description in RNAcentral is "partial 16S ribosomal RNA". It matches the Rfam family "Bacterial small subunit ribosomal RNA", at positions 328 to 792 of the family's 1533-position model. The record is from RNAcentral.
CGGCCAGACUCCUACGGGAGGCAGCAGUGGGGAAUAUUGCACAAUGGGGGAAACCCUGAUGCAGCAACGCCGCGUGAGUGAAGAAGUAUUUCGGUAUGUAAAGCUCUAUCAGCAGGGAAGAAGAAAGACGGUACCUGACUAAGAAGCCCCGGCUAACUACGUGCCAGCAGCCGCGGUAAUACGUAGGGGGCAAGCGUUAUCCGGAUUUACUGGGCGUAAAGGGAGCGUAGACGGCAUAGCAAGUCUGAAGUGAAAGCCCGUGGCUCAACCGCGGAACUGCUUUGGAAACUGUUAGGCUGGAGUACUGGAGAGGCAAGCGGAAUUCCUAGUGUAGCGGUGAAAUGCGUAGAUAUUAGGAGGAACACCGGUGGCGAAGGCGGCCUGCUGGACUGUGACUGACGUUGAGGCUCGAAAGCGUGGGGAGCAAACAGGAUUAGAUACCCCGGUA